RNAcentral lists this ribosomal RNA (1505 nucleotides) under Haliotis discus hannai (Japanese disc abalone). RNAcentral's name for it is "16S ribosomal RNA". The stretch from base 177 to 1476 matches the Rfam family "Bacterial large subunit ribosomal RNA". The record is from RNAcentral. Lineage: Eukaryota; Metazoa; Mollusca; Gastropoda; Lepetellida; Haliotidae.
UAGUUAAUUGAUUGCUUGUUUAAAGGACUAGUUAAUGCUAGUGAGGUGUAAAGGCCAUUUGGGCUUAUUUGUUAUGGUGUUGUUAAGGGAUUGGCAAAUUUUUUGUAUUUAUUAGUAAUGUAGAUAGAAAAUUUUAUUUUUCAAGCUAGAGUUUAGAAGUACCGUGAGGGAAAUUAAUUUAGGUUUUUAAGCUUUUUUUUAGUAGGGAUAAAGUCCCGUACCUUUUGCAUCAUGGUUCUUUAAGAGGUUUUUUAGAUAAAAUUGGCCCGAAAAAAAACGAGCUAUUUUUUGGCUUGCGUCAUCGUUGUAAAGAUGUGCUAAGACUUAAAAAUAGGAGUGAUAUUCUUUUCGCGUUUUUUGAUAGCUGGUUGGUCGGGAAAGGCAUUAGAGUGCUGUCUCAAUCUUUGGUUCUUGUCUAAUUUAGUGUACUGUGUUAGUACUCUAAGGCAUGGAGUAUUAUAAUUGAGGUUUGUGCGAGAAAGGAUUAGCUUUUUUGUAUUGUUAAAAAGUUGGAUUGGUGGCGUUAUAGUAGUUUGGUAGGCUUGGAGUUGGCCAUCUUUUAAGUUUGUUCUAAAAUAUCUACUGUUCGGCUGAAAAUUUAUAUGUGUGACUUUUAAGUUUGAUUUAUAGUACCGAUUUUAUAGGUGGAAUUAGGUUUACUUAUGGAAUAAUGAGGAAAUGAGUAUUUAUUGUAAUUUAGUUUGUCUUUGUUUAUUAAGGUAAGUUGACAGUAAAAUUUGAUUAAUGUAUGGAAGAUUAAUAUAAAUCUUGGAAAGGAACUCGGCAAAGAUCGGCCUCGCCUGUUUAGCAAAAACAUCGCUCCUUGGUUGUGAUAAUAUAAGGAGUCGGACCUGCCCGGUGACCUACGGGUUAAACGGCCGCGGUACACUGACCGUGCAAAGGUAGCACAAUCACUUGCCUUUUAAUUGGAGGCUGGUAUGAAUGGUUUGACGAGGGCUGAGCUGUCUCUCCUGGAAUAUUUAAAAAUUAACUUCUAAGUGAAAAGGCUUAGAUUUAGCUGAGGGACGAGAAGACCCUGUUGAGCUUUAGUGUGGAAUAAAGGGGUUGUUUCUAUUAGAAUAGAGGAUUUUAAAUUUAUUCUUACAUCUUUAGUUGGGGUGACUAGGGAACAUGAAAAGCUUCUCUGUUAAUUUGUAGAAUUUUGGUUUACUAACAAGUGAUCCAGCAUUGCUGAUUAUCGGAAAAAGUUACCACAGGGAUAACAGCGUAAUCUUUCUGGAGAGUUCACAUUGAAAGAAGGGUUUGCGACCUCGAUGUUGGAUUAAGGUGUCCUGAGGGUGUAGCAGCUUUCGUUGGUUGGUCUGUUCGACCAUUAAAACCUUACAUGAUCUGAGUUCAGACCGGCGUAAGCCAGGUUGGUUUCUAUCUUCAGUUAUUCGUGUUUCUUUGGCUAGUACGAAAGGACCGCUUUAAGACAAAUGUUAAAGUUUGUAAAAAUUGAUUAUAUCUAAAUUUGGUAUGAGAUUUAUUGAGAAUGGGAUGUU